CGAAAGCCUGACGGAGCAAUACCGCGUGAGGGAAGAAGGUCUUUGGAUCGUAAACCUCUUUUCUCAGGGAAGAAGUUCUGACGGUACCUGAGGAAUAAGCCUCGGCUAACUCCGUGCCAGCAGCCGCGGUAAUACGGAGGAGGCAAGCGUUAUCCGGAAUUAUUGGGCGUAAAGCGUUCGCAGGUGGCCAUUCAAGUCUGCUGUCAAAGACCAGAGCUCAACUCUGGGUAGGCGGUGGAAACUGAAUAGCUAGAGUGCGGUAGGGGUAGAGAGAAUUCCCAGUGUAGCGGUGAAAUGCGUAGAGAUUGGGAAGAACAUCGGUGGCGAAAGCGCUCUACUGGACCGCAACUGACACUCAGGGACGAAAGCUAGGGGAGCG
Molecule: ribosomal RNA, 379 nt
Filed under: uncultured cyanobacterium
Lineage: Bacteria; Bacillati; Cyanobacteriota
Description: bacterial SSU rRNA
Rfam family: Bacterial small subunit ribosomal RNA
Source: RNAcentral